This is a long non-coding RNA of Rhincodon typus (whale shark), 773 nucleotides long. RefSeq lists it as uncharacterized. NCBI's taxonomy places the organism in Eukaryota, Metazoa, Chordata, Chondrichthyes, Orectolobiformes, Rhincodontidae. The record is from RefSeq and is a predicted model, not a curated record. The transcript is spliced from 5 exons.
CAUGUGUUGUAAAAGGAUGUGGCUGGGCUAACCCAUCCCAAUUUGCCAAACCCUUGAAUUGGGCUUGCAUGUCAUUUCAGAGGCAGUUAAAAGUCAUCCACAUUGCUAUGGAUCCGGAGUCACGUAUGCCACACCAGGAUGUUAAGCGCUCCAGGAAGUGGAGACUAGGGAGGUGGCUUCCCAGGUCUCAGUGAUUGGAUCAGAAGGGACUACAAGAGGCUGCUCUCUGCAAUGUUUGUUCUUUUUCCGGUUGGGCGCUGCCCGGACCGGAGGAGAUUGGUCUCUACCUUUCUCCCUUUUCUCUAAGGGAUGCCAUUUGGUGACCCACUUGUUCUUGCUUGCAGUAGUUAACUUUUGUAGUUUUAUGGACAAAAAUAGCCCUGCUUCCAGCGGCAGGGAACGCUAGCAUCUUUGAUGCAAGUGUGCAGAAUGGAAUGUCCAGAGAUGAGCAUCUAGAUUGGAUCCAUCUGGAAUGCUGAGGGCGGGCAGUUGAAGACGAUGAGAAAUUGUCUGAUUCGUCGGCCUUGGAAUAGAGCUCUCAAAGCAACGAAACAAAUGACCACACAACCAAAGCAAAGCAAAGACAAAAAUGAUUACUUUUUCUAUUUUAGUUUGUUUUUUUAGUUUAUUUUUUCGCUUCAGGUUGUCUGUGUUGCUUGGUUCGGUGGGUUGAGAGGCGCCAACCGAUAAAGUCAAAUGCCUCAUUUUAAGGCUGUACGCAUAAUUUCACGUCAAUGUAAAACUUAAUAAAAAAAAAAAGCAAAACAUCUAAA